Non-coding RNA from Pelobates cultripes (western spadefoot toad), 846 nucleotides. Lineage: Eukaryota; Metazoa; Chordata; Amphibia; Anura; Pelobatidae. The record is from the annotation of a GenBank genome assembly.
ACCGACUUCACCAAUAACAGAAGCCACACACACCUUUCCAAAUUCCCCAGACCUACGCAUAAGAAGUCAUCCAAAUAAUGCAGAAUGGAGUCGCAGCACGCCUCAGUACGCACUACCAAUUCGAAGAAGGAGCUAAAACACUCAAAAUAGAAGCAAGAGAUCAAGCAUCCCAUGGGAAGACACAGACCCACAAAGUAUUGACCAUCAAAACACCCCAAAUGCUGAUGGCACUGAAGGCAGCUUCAAAGUUCGUCAUGGCCAUAAGGACCCCAGGACCCACAUCCCGCACCGCCUCGUCAAAAGACAAGUAGGACACCCUACAAAGCUUCUCCGAGAUGCUGUCAUUCACAGAGCCCCCGAAGGAGUACAAAAGGUGGUGAAUCAGUCGAAAUUUACUUCUUGCAAAAACUGAGGCAUCUGAAAGGGGUCCGCCGUACGUCCCAACGCAACUUCCUUCUCAAGCUUGUCCUUGACCACAUCAGGAUGUUCCCUGACAGAGUGAAGGUUCUGACACUCCGCCGAGGCCCACGGCCCCAGUGGAGAAUCCAAAACCCAUCCCGUCAAUAACAGCGCCGCAGCAUCACGAUUCCCAUACCUAUUUAACCACAGGAGCACCGCAAUGACGCCCACCGGCAUCUACGCCCUUUGAGCACAAGGCAUCAGGCUUCUCCCCCACUUGAAGCACCGCAAAGCGGGGUGGGAUCCCCCGCAGACUGAGCAUUCAUGCUUGAACUUACAACUUGCUCCCCACUUGCACUGGCUCUUGUUGAACUGCCAGCAACAACCAAGGCGACAGGAACCGCAAUCAAUUCACAAUAAACUUCUGGUGCACAUAUGAUAUAGCCC